Molecule: non-coding RNA, 201 nt
Filed under: bovine gut metagenome
Source: RNAcentral
UUGUGGUUCACUCCUUCGAGUGAUGAAAAGGGAAUCAGGUGAAAAUCCUGAGCAGUCCCGCUGCUGUAAGCUGAUUUUACACAGAUUGCGAAACUCUAAAAGCCACUGAAGCGAAAGGCAACAGAAACCAUUCGUUUGUGUCGUCCAGCUUUGGGAAGGCAUUCGCAACCGCCAGCAAGCCAGAAGACCUACCACAAAUGG